CUACGGGUCGCAGCAGUAGGGAAUCUUAGACAAUGGGGGAAACCCUGAUCUAGCCAUGCCGCGUGAGUGAUGAAGGCCUUAGGGUUGUAAAGCUCUUUCGCUGGGGAAGAUAAUGACGGUACCCAGUAAAGAAACCCCGGCUAACUCCGUGCCAGCAGCCGCGGUAGUACGGAGGGGGUUAGCGUUGUUCGGAAUUACUGGGCGUAAAGCGCGCGUAGGCGGGCUAUUAAGUCAGGGGUGAAAUCCCGGGGCUCACCCCCGGAACUGCCUUUGAUACUGGUAGUCUUGAGUUCGAGAGAGGUGAGUGGAAUUCCGAGUGUAGAGGUGAAAUUCGUAGAUAUUCGGAGGAACAUCAGUGGCGAAGGCGACUCACUGGCUCGAUACUGACGCUGAGGUGCGAAAGUGUGGGGAGCAAACAGGAUUAGAUACCCCUGUAGUC
This 439-nucleotide ribosomal RNA is filed under the name uncultured bacterium. Its description in RNAcentral is "partial 16S ribosomal RNA". It matches the Rfam family "Bacterial small subunit ribosomal RNA", at positions 339 to 795 of the family's 1533-position model. The record is from RNAcentral.